RNAcentral lists this ribosomal RNA (401 nucleotides) under uncultured bacterium. Its description in RNAcentral is "bacterial SSU rRNA". It matches the Rfam family "Bacterial small subunit ribosomal RNA", at positions 355 to 773 of the family's 1533-position model. The record is from RNAcentral.
UGGGGAAUAUUGGACAAUGGGCGCAAGCCUGAUUCAGUCAUGCCGCGUGAGUGAUGAAGGCCUUAGGGUUGUAAAGCUCUUUUGUCCGGGAAGAUAAUGACUGUACCGGAAGAAUAAGCCCCGGCUAACUUCGUGCCAGCAGCCGCGGUAAUACGAAGGGGGCUAGCGUUGCUCGGAAUCACAGGGCGUAAAGGGCGCGUAGGCGGACUCUGAAGUCGGGGGUGAAAGCCCAGGGCUCAACCCUGGAAUAGCCUUCGAUACUGAGAGUCUUGAGUUCGGAAGAGGUUGGUGGAAUUGCGAGUGUAGGGGUGAAAUUCGUAGAUAUUCGCAAGAACACCAGUAGCGAAGGCGGCCAACUGGUCCGAUACUGACGCUGAGGCGCGAGAGCGCGGAGAGCAAAC